Molecule: ribosomal RNA, 301 nt
Filed under: uncultured bacterium
Lineage: Bacteria
Description: partial 16S ribosomal RNA
Rfam family: Bacterial small subunit ribosomal RNA
Source: RNAcentral
CAGCCGCCGCGGGAAUACGUAGGUCCCGAGCGUUGUCCGGACUUAUUGGGCGUAAAGCGAGCGCAGGCUGUUAGAUAAGUCUGAAGUUAAAGGCUGUGGCUUAACCAUAGUACGCUUUGGAAACUGUUUAACUUGAGUGCAGGAGGGGAGAGUGGAAUUCCAUGUGUAGCGGUGAAAUGCGUAGAUAUAUGGAGGAACACCGGUGGCGAAAGCGGCUCUCUGGCUUGUAACUGACGCUGAGGCUCGAAAGCGUGGGGAGCAAACAGGAUUAGAUACCCGCGUAGUCCCUGUCUCUUAUACC